CUCAGUUCGGAUUGGAGUCUGCAACCCGACUCCAUGAAGCUGGAUUCGCUAGUAAUCGCGCAUCAGCCACGGCGCGGUGAAUACGUUCCCGGGCCUUGUACACACCGCCCGUCAAGCCAUGGGAGCCGGGAGUGCCUGAAGUACGUGACCGCAAGGAGCGUCCUAGGGUAAGACCGGUGACUGGGGCUAAGUCGUAACAAGGUACC
Molecule: ribosomal RNA, 206 nt
Filed under: uncultured bacterium
Lineage: Bacteria
Description: partial 16S ribosomal RNA
Rfam family: Bacterial small subunit ribosomal RNA
Source: RNAcentral